UGAAAUGAUGAUAGUUAUUGUGCCCCAAUCUUAAUUUGUACCACAUAGUGUAAAAUGGUGAAUUACAUUCUUAUCUGAUAU
This 81-nucleotide small nucleolar RNA is filed under the name Glycine max (soybean). RNAcentral's name for it is "Small nucleolar RNA U31b". It matches the Rfam family "Small nucleolar RNA U31b". Lineage: Eukaryota; Viridiplantae; Streptophyta; Magnoliopsida; Fabales; Fabaceae. The record is from Rfam by way of RNAcentral.